GACGAACGCUGGCGGCGUGCUUAACACAUGCAAGUCGAACGGGCCUGUCUUCUUUUUUGGGGGGUGGGUUGAGUGGCGAACGGGUGAGUAUCACGUGAGUAACCUGCCCUUCGGUCCUGGAUAACCGCUUGAAAGGGCGGCUAAUACGGGGUGGUCCGGUUGGUCCGCAUGGGCUGGUCGGGAUAGAUUCACUGUUUUUGGUGUUUCGGCGGGGGAUGGGCUCGCGGCCUAUCAGCUUGUUGGUGGGGUGAUGGCCUACCAAGGCGGUGACGGGUAGCCGGCCUGAGAGGGUGGGCGGCCACACUGGGACUGGGAUACGGCCCAGACUCCUGCGGGAGGCAGCAGUGGGGGGUAUUGCACAAUGGGCGGAAGCCUGAUGCAGCGACGUCGCGUGAGGGAUGGAGGCCUUCGGGUUGUGAACCUCUGUUUCCGGUGGUGAAGGCCCUGUCCGUGUGGUGGGGUUGACGGUAGCCGGGGAUGAAGCGCCGGCUAACUACGUG
This 500-nucleotide ribosomal RNA is filed under the name uncultured bacterium. Its description in RNAcentral is "partial 16S ribosomal RNA". It matches the Rfam family "Bacterial small subunit ribosomal RNA", at positions 28 to 507 of the family's 1533-position model. The record is from RNAcentral.